AGCUACUCAUUGAAGAAAUGCAAUGUAAGGGAAAAAAUGGGUAGAGUGAGAGAAGCUUGGGAGAAAACGGAAAUACUACGGUGAAAACAAAGUGAGUUGUCCUAUGGGUCAGGUACUGUGUUCAUCACUGGAAAAUGGGAAGCCAAUGACUGGAGUAAUGUGAGCAGAUUUUUGAGUAAGGAUGAAUGUUCUGGAAACGAGACUGGAAAUAUUCACGGAAACCAAUGCACUCCACAUCUGCUGCACUUCACUCUUUCCAACACCAGGCUAUGCUGCUUGCUUUAUUUGAGGCAGCAUCAGAAGGACCCAUUUAAACUACCAGUGCUGCAGAAUUUCAUCCUCCCGCUGAUGUCAGUGAGCAUUAAUGGACUGGCAGGCUCUCCUACGUUUUCUUCUGUUCUGCACAAUUGUUGGUCCAUCUCUGAGAGUGGUAAGAGGAUGCCCAUGUGGAAAUCCAGCCAAUAUUCCAGAAAUAAAAAGCCUUAAAAAUCUGCAGAAAAUCAAAGUCCUCCGAGAGAACAAUCCUGCCAGCCAGUCCUCCUCUUUUCACCAAUGGUAACAACUUCCUGACUCCUGCUUCUUGCCCAUACAUAUUACUCUGGGCUCAAAUUUCUCACUACUGUUUUCUAACCCAUGCCAAGCCCAUUUAGUUCUUUCCUUUAUCUUUUCUCUCCAA
Long non-coding RNA from Otolemur garnettii (small-eared galago), 676 nucleotides. RefSeq lists it as uncharacterized. NCBI's taxonomy places the organism in Eukaryota, Metazoa, Chordata, Mammalia, Primates, Galagidae. The transcript is spliced from 3 exons. The record is from RefSeq and is a predicted model, not a curated record.